Molecule: ribosomal RNA, 645 nt
Filed under: uncultured bacterium
Lineage: Bacteria
Description: bacterial SSU rRNA
Rfam family: Bacterial small subunit ribosomal RNA
Source: RNAcentral
CUAACACAUGCAAGUCGAGCGGCACCCUGCUUCGGCAGGAAGCGAGCGGCGAACGGCUGAGUAACACGUGACCAACCUGCCCUGCGCACGGGGACAGCCGCGGGAAACCGCGGGUGAUACCCGGUGGCCCCCUGGGACCGCAUGGCCCCAGGGGCAUAGCUCCGGCGGCGCGGGAUGGGGUCGCGGCCCAUCAGGUAGUUGGUAGGGUGACGGCCUACCAAGCCGACUACGGGUAGCCGGGUUGAGAGACCGACCGGCCAGAUUGGGACUGAGACACGGCCCAGACUCCUACGGGAGGCAGCAGUGGGGAAUCUUGCGCAAUGGGGGGAACCCUGACGCAGCGACGCCGCGUGCGGGAUGGAGGCCUUCGGGUCGUGAACCGCUUUCAGCAGGGACGAGACUGACGGUACCUGCAGAAGAAGCCCCGGCUAACUACGUGCCAGCAGCCGCGGUAAUACGUAGGGGGCGAGCGUUAUCCGGAUUCAUUGGGCGUAAAGCGCGCGUAGGCGGCCGCGCAGGCGGGGGGUCAAAUCCCGGGGCUCAACCCCGGGCCGCCCCCCGAACCGCGCGGCUUGGGUCCGGCAGGGGAGGGUGGAACGCCCGGUGUAGCGNUGGAAUGCGCAGNUAUCGGGCGGAACACCGGUG